UUGAAAGUGUGAAAGUAGAGAAAGGAUCCCCUGCCAUUUGGCCUAGGUAGCUACUCUCUCAUCUCUGACCCUAUAUAGCUAGCUAAGACAACUCCUCAUCAAUCAUCAUGCGUCUGCUCCUUCUUCCUUUUUAGCCUUCUUAGCUGUGUGCCUUUGAAUUCCCUCUUCCUUGACUCUACUGUGCAUGUAAGCUUCCUUUAAUUCACUGUUACACAAGGUGGGAUAUGUCUUUAUGAUACUUAUUAACCCUCUUCUCUUUUCAUUUUCAAUCCAUCUAUCUGUCUCUCACUCACUCUAUAUAUUCUACUCUUGUUUUCCUUUCUCUCUUCACCCUCCAGUCCCCACUUUCAAUCCUUCCUUCCUGCUUACAAGUGUUUAAAUGGUAUCCACAUACAUGCAUCUUCUUCCCUUUUCUUUCUAUCUAAAUCUAGGUUUCCCAGCCCUUUUCCUCCUCUUUCCUCCUACCCUAUAUAUUUUGUCAUCGAGUUAUAGGUUGUGCUUCGAGUUAACCUGUUCUCAUUCAUCUAAACACUUGCCAUUUUUUGUUGUGUCCACUUGCUUUUGUAUGUGCAAGUGUGUGAUCGCUCCUUUUAGGUGGUUGUCUGUAUAUCUUUUCGUGGUUCCAGAAGAGUGUUGUGAUGUUUCUUUUCUUCUUUUAAGCGUUCCUCACAUAUUAUAUGCACCCGCAGAGAGUGGAGUUGAGCCGUUACAUACUACACAGUUGGGAUUAGAAGUUCGCAAAGGAAAAAGUGAAGCUGCCAGCAUGAUCUAGCUUUGGUUAGAGAGCAGACGAGUGUUAACCCUGACUAGGUCAUGCUGUGACAGCCUCACUUCUUCCUGUUUGGGGACCCAGUAGAUUCUUCAACGUCUGAAAGACACACAAGGAUUAAAAGCAAAAGGUGAGUUAGUAGAUAGACAGACUCACCAUGAGAAAAUCACUGUUAGCAUCGUAUAUUCCUUUUUCUGAGUUUCUGUUCUGGCAGGCGUGCGUUAUUAAUUUUUCCCUUUUUCUUGCUUUGUCUUUUUCUUUUUUUUCUCCUCUUGCCAUUACUUCUUUCACGCAACUGUUUCACUGUGUCCUGUGGACCUAGCUUUUAAUCUCAAGGCCGCAGAUUGCUCCUUAUCUUUACUUAAUUAGGGUUUCUAGAACCCGAGGAUCGAUAUUGCUUGUGUCAUUUAAGUCUCCAUUUUAUUGAUUGGGAAUUUCUUUACAAUGGCUUGAAUUUCAAAACCCUAGUUACUGGUUAUUUUGAUCUUAAAGUUGGUCUCUAUGAGUGCUAUGUUGUGCUGUAGAGUCAUAGUUUAUGCAGCAUAUAUGUAUAUAUAUAAGACUUGUAUAUCCGUAAUGCUUUGUUGGUUUAAGUUCUUAUUCAUUUAACUGCAUAAAAUGCUGAAAUAUUCUCUCUAAGAUGCGCUUCAGUCCCGAAGCAGUGAUGCUGAUCCAGAUGAACCUCUUUUUCUCAGGUUCUCAGGAUUUGGUUACUACAUUUGUUGUGCUCGAUUUGUUUCUAUAAGGUGGGAUUCUUCAUUUGUUAUCUUUUACUGCUACCCAUGUCUAUGUAAAACAUAGUGUUUCAAAUCUGGAUUAAGGUUAAUUCUAGCAUUGAGCCGUUAAUCCAGACUCUAAAAGAAGCCGUAUCUUGAAGACAUUGCGAUAGAGAUAAGUAGGGGACUAGAGUAUGCCCUACUGUUGGCGCAACGAAAAGUACAUGUGGUGAGACAGUGUCCAAUAUGAACUAAUUUGUUAAACAACCAAUCGUUUUCUGACGAAACUGAUUUGAAAAUGGAUAAAAUGCCCUUUGGUCCACCGGGCAGGAUGAUCGGUGGAAGAUGUUUAGCGGAUGGAAAAGAAUAAACAUCAUCCCUUUUGAGAGAAAAAAAAAUUAGAAGAUUCACCAAAGUUGUUAAAGUUUUAGUAAGACGAAAACAAAAGAAUUUGGAUCUAUAUUUACGAAAGUUCUUGGGUGAUGAGUUAAGUCUAUAGGACAACUGGGGAAGCUGUUUUCAGUAAAA
Molecule: long non-coding RNA, 2013 nt
Organism: Vigna angularis (adzuki bean)
Lineage: Eukaryota; Viridiplantae; Streptophyta; Magnoliopsida; Fabales; Fabaceae
Exons: 3
Source: RefSeq, a predicted model, not a curated record